AGAACGAACGCUGGCGGCGCGUUUAAGCAUGCAAGUCGAGCGGCAAGGGCCUUCGGGCCCCUAGAGCGGCGGACGGGUGAGUAACACGUGGACAAUCUCGCCCCCCGGCCCGGGAUAGCCCAGGGAAACCUGGAUUAAUACCGGAUGAGACGGGACCCGCGAUGGCGGGAUCCGGGAAAGGCGCUGCGGCGCCGCCGGGGGAUGAGUCUGCGUCCCAUUAGCUAGACGGCGGGGUAACGGCCCACCGUGGCGACGAUGGGUAGCCGGCCUGAGAGGGUGGACGGCCACAUUGGAACUGAGACACGGUCCAGACUCCUACGGGAGGCAGCAGCUAAGAAUCUUCCGCAAUGGGCGAAAGCCUGACGGAGCGACGCCCGCGUGAACGAAGAAGGCCGUGAGGUUGUAAAGUUCUUUUCGGGAGGGGGAACAACCGUGGCAGGGAAUGGCCGCGGGAUGACGUGAAUCCCGGAAUAAGCCCCGGCUAACUACGUGCCAGCAGCGGC
This 503-nucleotide ribosomal RNA is filed under the name uncultured bacterium. RNAcentral describes it as "bacterial SSU rRNA". It matches the Rfam family "Bacterial small subunit ribosomal RNA", at positions 26 to 518 of the family's 1533-position model. The record is from RNAcentral.